Molecule: long non-coding RNA, 1484 nt
Organism: Tympanuchus pallidicinctus (lesser prairie-chicken)
Lineage: Eukaryota; Metazoa; Chordata; Aves; Galliformes; Phasianidae
Exons: 2
Source: RefSeq, a predicted model, not a curated record
AUGGAGCCUGGCUGCACCUCUCCUAGACCCCAUUUAAGGGCUGACUGCCACUAGGGAAGGAUUUCUUUCUAGAGCUCUCUCAUUUUGGAGUUUUUUGCUGUGAGCCUAGGACAUGGGUUAAUGCUGAGGCUUCCCUCCAUCCUUCCUCUUAUUCUAAGGAAGGCUUGAACCAACUUGAACUUCACAAGAAAGACUUGCUCCAUGAAGAUGGUGUGGGGAGUAGAUCUAGUUUGUCCACAAAUGCAGGGACAAUUUUUCAAAAUAACUCUAUUCAGUUUCUUUAAGAAGCUAGCCUCAGUUCUUGGGCUGCCUAAAGAGUAGCUGUGGCUGCAUAAGUAAAUGAAAACUCUGGCGUUAUAUACAUCAGAGUAUAAAAUGCUUUUUAAAUGCAAAGUUUAUUCUGAAAUCAACAGAAGCAUCAUCAGUCAUCAUGAUAAAUUCUAGACAGCAUGCUUUGAGAAGUUAAUCUCACUUAUUAAAAUGAUAAAUGUAGAGGAAUAUGGAACUUGUCAUAGUGGAGUAGACUCACUUCUGCAUUUGAUUCAGUAUCCUGCAUCAAAGCAUGUCAUUGGAUACUACAAAUCUGCUGUGCCUGGCCUCACCAUGUCAAACAAAUUUACUGACUGCCCUCAAGUGUGAAGGUGUCCCAAACAUGUUUGGAACCCUCUAUGUCUUUGAAAGGAUCAGAGUUCUGCUUCUAGAUGCUUUUGGACAUUCAUCCCAUUGAAAUUCACCGGUGACGUUCCUGUGAGUUAUCUCCAUGUUUUAAUGCAACUCCUACCCUUUGAAUGAGUCUUACCCACAAAAUGUAAGCGUAUCAUGUCUGACAUGGGAUAUUUGGCAUCACCUGUGUUUCGGAAUGGAUGCUUCAGAGACAUGGACCUUUUCUGGCACCUACUCUCUGAGAUCACGCAAGGUUGAUCUAGGGGAUGGCUUUAAACUUGUUAGAGAGACCAGUGAGAGAACAGUUCUUACUUGUGGGUCUUUCGGGUAACUGUGGCAGACUAAAAGCACGUGGAGGUAAAUAUUAACGUCACUGACAGCAUUGUCAUCUCCUAGAGUUAAUUAAGGUACUGUCAGCAUAUGACAGCUUUACCCAGUUAUGAACUACUAUCUAAAAUGAAAUAUUACUCCCACAAGUUUAUAGUAAUUCCUUAUACAACUACAGACUGUUGUUUCCAAGCUUUUCUUUUUCCCUUUCUUUUUUUCACUGCUCAGCACUUUCAUUUCAUUUUAGCUGAGCAGAGAUGGGCUUGUGGCUGCUAGUGGUUCACAUCACAUCUACUGGAAUUCAACAUUGCUUCUUGCUACUCCAAGGCUCUGGCUCAGACGUGGGAUGCUUAAAUGGUUCUCUGGACACCUGUAUGAUGAAAAACACCAAAGGCCAAGCAGAGUCUGUUACAAGAGGAGCAGAAAACAUAACUCCUAUCUUCCUGUCACCUUUAUCUGAAUAUCUUUGCAAGUAAAAACUGAGUUUGGGUUGA